Molecule: transfer RNA, 86 nt
Filed under: Holosporales bacterium
Lineage: Bacteria; Pseudomonadati; Pseudomonadota; Alphaproteobacteria; Holosporales
Description: tRNA-Ser
Rfam family: tRNA
About the family: Transfer RNA (tRNA) molecules are approximately 80 nucleotides in length. Their secondary structure includes four short double-helical elements and three loops (D, anti-codon, and T loops).
Source: RNAcentral
GGAGAGAUGGCCGAGUGGUUGAAGGCGCACGCCUGGAACGCGUGUAUGCAGUUACUGUAUCGAGGGUUCGAAUCCCUCUCUCUCUG